Molecule: unclassified non-coding RNA, 350 nt
Filed under: soil metagenome
Description: partial contains 5.8S ribosomal RNA, internal transcribed spacer 2, and large subunit ribosomal RNA
Rfam family: 5.8S ribosomal RNA (bases 1-120)
Source: RNAcentral
GAUGAAGAACGUAGCGAAAUGCGAUAAGUAAUGUGAAUUGCAGAAUUCAGUGAAUCAUCGAAUCUUUGAACGCACAUUGCGCCCGCCAGUAUUCUGGCGGGUAUGCCUGUCCGAGCGUCAUUUCAACCCUCGAACCCCUCCGGGGGGUCGGCGUUGGGGAUCGGCCCUUUACGGGGCCGGCCCCGAAAUACAGUGGCGGUCUCGCCGCAGCCUCUCCUGCGCAGUAGUUUGCACACUCGCAUCGGGAGCGCGGCGCGUCCACAGCCGUUAAACACCCCAAACUUCUGAAAUGUUGACCUCGGAUCAGGUAGGAAUACCCGCUGAACUUAAGCAUAUCAAUAAGCGGAGGA